Molecule: ribosomal RNA, 253 nt
Filed under: uncultured bacterium
Lineage: Bacteria
Description: partial 16S ribosomal RNA
Rfam family: Bacterial small subunit ribosomal RNA
Source: RNAcentral
UACAGAGGGGGCAAGCGUUAUUCGGAAUUAUUGGGCGUAAAGGGCGCGUAGGCGGCCUUGCAAGUGGCGGGUGAAAUCCCUCGGCUUAACCGAGGAACUGCCUGCCAGACUGCAAGGCUCGAGACCGGGAGAGGUGAGUGGAAUUCCCAGUGUAGCGGUGAAAUGCGUAGAUAUUGGGAGGAACACCAGUGGCGAAGGCGGCUCACUGGACCGGAACUGACGCUGAGGAGCGAAAGCCAGGGGAGCAAACGGG